Molecule: ribosomal RNA, 410 nt
Filed under: uncultured bacterium
Lineage: Bacteria
Description: bacterial SSU rRNA
Rfam family: Bacterial small subunit ribosomal RNA
Source: RNAcentral
GGAUGAACGCUGGCGGUCUGCUUAACACAUGCAAGUCGAAACGAACUCUUCGGAGUGUAGGUGGCGGACGGGGUGAGUAACGCGUGAGGAAUCUGCCUGUGGGUACGGGGACAACCACUGGAAACGGUGGGCUAAUACCGGAUAGAGCCGAAAGGUAAAAGAUUUAUUGCCCACAGAUGAAGCGUCGCGUCUGAUUAGCUAGUUGGUAAGUAAAGCGUACCAAGGCGACGAUCAGUAGCUGGUCUGAGAGGAUGAGCAGCCACACUGGGACUGAGACACGGCCCAGACUCCUACGGGAGCAGCAGUGGGAAUUUUCCGCAAUGGGCGAAAAGCCUGACGGAGCGAAGACCGCGUGGGGGAGGAAGGUUUUUUGGGAUCGUAAAACCCUUUGUCAAGGAAGAAGCUCUGAC